UGUCAUACUAGUCCAGAUGAGAGCAUGUUUUGAAAGACUUCCAGAUGUGGAGUUUGGGCCUGAAAGCCAACAGAAAAUAAAGCAGAAGGUCUUCAGUGAUUUCUGCAUCCCCCCUCAGCUGAAUGGCGUCCGCUUAUUGGGCUAGCUUAGAGACCGCAUCGGGAGCUGCUGCCUAGGGGUCACUCCUGGCACACGAGGAACCACUGAGAAGGGUGAGCACAAAGGGAGAGCAUUUGGCAAAAGCUCCGAGUGCCUGCAGAGAGCCUGGCAUGUGACUAUGGCCUCAGGGCCCGUUAAGCAGAUGAACAUCCAUCACAUUGAGAAUCACCCUGAAAGUGGGACACCACCAAGAGCCACAUACCACAUGUGCUUCCUAUCCUGGGGUAGAGAG
Molecule: non-coding RNA, 391 nt
Organism: Leptonychotes weddellii (Weddell seal)
Lineage: Eukaryota; Metazoa; Chordata; Mammalia; Carnivora; Phocidae
Source: RefSeq, a predicted model, not a curated record